This 253-nucleotide ribosomal RNA is filed under the name uncultured bacterium. RNAcentral's name for it is "partial 16S ribosomal RNA". It matches the Rfam family "Bacterial small subunit ribosomal RNA", at positions 524 to 776 of the family's 1533-position model. The record is from RNAcentral.
UACGUAGGGUGCUAACGUUGUUCGGAAUCACUGGGCAUAAAGAGCGCGUAGGCAGUCUGAUAAGUCAGGUGUGAAAUCCCCCGGCUCAACCGGGGAACUGCACCUGAUACUGUUGGGCUUGAGUGCAGGAGGGGAGAGCGGAAUUCCUGGUGGAGCGGUGAAAUGCGUAGAUAUCAGGAGGAAUACCGAUGGCGAAGGCAGGUCUCUGGGCUGACACUGACGCUCAUGCACGAAAGCGUGGGGAGCAAACAGG